This is a long non-coding RNA of Mytilus californianus (California mussel), 768 nucleotides long. RefSeq lists it as uncharacterized. The transcript is spliced from 3 exons. The record is from RefSeq and is a predicted model, not a curated record. Lineage: Eukaryota; Metazoa; Mollusca; Bivalvia; Mytilida; Mytilidae.
CUUUACACCACCAGGACUUACUAAAGACAGCAAACACACAAAACUUAAAAAAGGCCAUAGCGAACAGGGAGGUAACUCCAAAAUUAUCGGUACAGUUAUUGGUGGACUACUGGGAUUUUGUUCUGUAAUUGCUUUGUUAGCUGCACUGAUUGUAUGCAAAUUAAGGUCAAUUGGAAUUUUUAAAGAAUCAUCAACACAUGAUAAACAAGAAAAUAGUCAGAUGCAAUUUUCAAAGACAGUAUACCAAGAUUCAAAUAGUACAACAGAGAAAAGAAUUACAACACCAACAUCAAACCAGACUUACGGACUUGCUGGAAACAGUACAGCAGUAUAUGCAGUGGUAAAAAAAAUAAAGACAUCGGGAAAUAUAAACGAGACAUACAUUGAUGCAGGGUAUGGAGAAUAUGAUCAUUUACAUGAUAUACAAACUCGAAGAAUAAGUGUACAAGAAAAUUUGUAUCACAGUCAUGGUGCACCGCGAAAUGAGGAGGACCUAACAUAUGAUAGCUCAGAUUUCGGAAAAGGACAAUCCUAUGAUGGUAACGGUGUAUAUGAUCAGUCUUUUUCAGUGGUUGAAGGGGAAUAUUCAUAUUCGACAUACAAAAACCAUGAUAACACCAAUAACAUGGGAAUAUACGACAAAGCAUCUUAACUACGUGUUGCAUUUAAUAAAAUUAAACUUUUGUUCAACAAAUACAUUCUUUCAACAUAUUUCUUAUUAAGGUGUAUUACCACCAAAUCAUAGUACGUCACAUCCGGUUGCAUACG